Molecule: ribosomal RNA, 442 nt
Filed under: uncultured bacterium
Lineage: Bacteria
Description: partial 16S ribosomal RNA
Rfam family: Bacterial small subunit ribosomal RNA
Source: RNAcentral
CCUACGGGUGGCAGCAGUAGGGAAUCUUUCACAAUGGGCGAAAGCCUGAUGGAGCAACGCCGCGUGCAGGCUGAAGGCCUUCGGGUUGUAAACUGCUUUUAUAAGCGAGAAAUAUGAUGGUAACUUAUGAAUAAGGAUCGGCUAACUACGUGCCAGCAGCCGCGGUCAUACGUAGGAUCCGAGCAUUAUCCGGAGUGACUGGGUGUAAAGAGUUGCGUAGGUGGCAUAAUAAGUAGCUAGUGAAAUCUGGUGGCUCAACCAUUCAGACUAUUAGCGAAAAUGUUAAGCUCGAGACCGUUAGGGGUAACUGGAAUUUCUAGUGUAGGAGUGAAAUCCGUAGAUAUUAGAAGGAACACCAAUAGCGUAGGCAGGUUGCUGGGACGGUUCUGACACUAAGGCACGAAAGCGUAGGGAGCAAACGGGAUUAGAUACCCUUGUAGUC